CGCGGGCGGGCUGCGCCCUUCCGUGGGAGCCUCGAGGGAAGGGCGGCGGGCUCUGCCGCGCGAUGUGGCGGCCCGCCGUCUACCGGCGUACGAAGUGGCUCCGCGUCAGAUCGCAAAUACGUAUAAAUAGCUGCAUUCAAGGAAGUGCAGUCUUUACGCUACUGACAUGUGGCACAGCGUCGCAUCUGGACAAGGAACAGGAAAAGCACAGCAUUCAGGAAGGUCUUACUACAACUGUACAACUGUAGAAGGUGCAGUCAUAUGGACCAUUUGGACAACUUGCCCAUCACUGCAAAGCCGCAUAUUAAACUCAUUAAAAGGAAAACCAGCCUCCACCAGAGUAAGCUUCUCAUGGGAUGAAAUGCUUUUGGCUGCUAUGGUUACUAAUGUGAUGUUCCAUUUACUUCCUUGUUCACUCACCUGCUUUCCCAUUCAAACACCAUACAUGAGUAUCUUCAUAGAUAUUGCUGGAAUAGUGACAAACCUCAUUAGUGCCAGCCAUGCAUAACCAAGAGAAAAAAAACCAUACAAAUGAACAGGGAAUAAACAGAAGAAAGGAAAAUGCUGGAAUCUGUAG
This 577-nucleotide long non-coding RNA is filed under the name Dromaius novaehollandiae (emu). Its description in RNAcentral is "lncRNA (ENSDNVG00000005422.1)". The record is from RNAcentral. Lineage: Eukaryota; Metazoa; Chordata; Aves; Casuariiformes; Dromaiidae.